Molecule: long non-coding RNA, 150 nt
Organism: Engraulis encrasicolus (European anchovy)
Lineage: Eukaryota; Metazoa; Chordata; Actinopteri; Clupeiformes; Engraulidae
Exons: 3
Source: RefSeq, a predicted model, not a curated record
GGGCCUCGUUUGGACUUCCAUUUUACGCUGAGGGGAAACCUGAAACCUUGACAAUUAUGACUGAAGCCAUAAUCCUGCUGGUGGUGUGUGGUAUGGCUGCUAUAUCCUCGGCACAAAGACUAUCCGCGAUAGUGAAACCUUACCCCAUAU